Molecule: ribosomal RNA, 253 nt
Filed under: uncultured bacterium
Lineage: Bacteria
Description: partial 16S ribosomal RNA
Rfam family: Bacterial small subunit ribosomal RNA
Source: RNAcentral
UACGUAGGGGGCGAGCGUUGUCCGGAUUUAUUGGGCGUAAAGAGCGUGUAGGCGGCUUGGUAGGUCUGCUGUGAAAACUCGAGGCUCAACCUCGAGACGCCGGCGGAAACCAUCAGGCUAGAGUCCGGAAGAGGAGAGUGGAAUUCCUGGUGUAGCGGUGAAAUGCGCAGAUAUCAGGAAGAACACCCGUGGCUAAGGCGGCUCUCUAGUACGGUACUGACGCUGAGACGCGAAAGCGUGGGGAGCGAACAGG